RNAcentral lists this ribosomal RNA (256 nucleotides) under uncultured bacterium. RNAcentral's name for it is "partial 16S ribosomal RNA". It matches the Rfam family "Bacterial small subunit ribosomal RNA", at positions 524 to 778 of the family's 1533-position model. The record is from RNAcentral.
UACGAAGGGGGCUAGCGUUGUUCGGAUUUACUGGGCGUAAAGCGCACGUAGGCGGAUUGUUAAGUGAGAGGUGAAAUCCCGGAGCUCAACUCCGGAACUGCCUUUCAUACUGGCAAUCUAGAGUCCGGAAGAGGUGAGUGGAACUCCUAGUGUAGAGGUGGAAUUCGUAGAUAUUAGGAAGAACACCAGUGGCGAAGGCGGCUCACUGGUCCGGUACUGACGCUGAGGUGCGAAAGCGUGGGGGAGCAAACAGGAU